ACUCAAAUGAAUUGACGGGGGCCCGCACAAGCGGUGGAGGAUGUGGUUUAAUUCGAAGCAACGCGAAGAACCUUACCAAGACUUGACAUGGGAGUGACUGCACGAGAAAUCGUGCUUUGUUAGUUUACUAACACGCUCCACACAGGUGCUGCAUGGCUGUCGUCAGCUCGUGUCGUGAGAUGUUGGGUUAAGUCCCGCAACGAGCGCAACCCUCGUUUUCAGUUGUCAUCAGGUAAUGCUGGACCCUCUGGAGAGACUGCCGCGUAUAACGCGGAGGAAGGUGGGGACGACGUCAAGUCAUCAUGGCCCUUACGUCUUGGGCUACACACGUCCUACAAUGGUCGGUACAGCGGGUUGCGAAGUCGCGAGACGGAGCUAAUCCUCAAAGCCGGCCUCAGUUCGGAUUGCAGUCUGCAACUCGACUGCAUGAAGUUGGAAUCGCUAGUAAUCGCGGGUCAGCACACCGCGGUGAAUACGUUCCCGGGCCUUGUACACACCGCCCGU
RNAcentral lists this ribosomal RNA (504 nucleotides) under uncultured bacterium. Its description in RNAcentral is "partial 16S ribosomal RNA". It matches the Rfam family "Bacterial small subunit ribosomal RNA", at positions 899 to 1397 of the family's 1533-position model. The record is from RNAcentral.